Molecule: ribosomal RNA, 467 nt
Filed under: uncultured bacterium
Lineage: Bacteria
Description: partial 16S ribosomal RNA
Rfam family: Bacterial small subunit ribosomal RNA
Source: RNAcentral
GACGAACGCUGGCGGCGUGCUUAACACAUGCAAGUCGAACGGAAAGGCUCCAGCUUGCUGGAGUACUCGAGUGGCGAACGGGUGAGUAACACGUGGGUAAUCUGCCCUGCACUCUGGGAUAAGCCUGGGAAACUGGGUCUAAUACUGGAUAUGACCUUUCUCCUUAUGGGGUUUGGUGGAAAGUUUUUCGGUGUAGGAUGAGCCCGCGGCCUAUCAGCUUGUUGGUGGGGUGAUGGCCUACCAAGGCGACGACGGGUAGCCGGCCUGAGAGGGUGAUCGGCCACAUUGGGACUGAGAUACGGCCCAGACUCCUACGGUAGGCAGCAGUGGGGAAUAUUGCACAAUGGGCGGAAGCCUGAUGCAGCGACGCCGCGUGAGGGAUGACGGCCUUCGGGUUGUAAACCUCUUUCAGCAGGGACGAAGCGUAAGUGACGGUACCUGCAGAAGAAGCACCGGCUAACUAUGUG